CUUAAAAGAGCAGCUCUUUCCCCGAAGUGGAAACCUCAGCUGGGAGAAUCUGUGAGAAGGUGAAGUCUCCGAAGUCUCCGUGGAGGCCUGGAGAGGGAGCUGCAGCCAAAGGGACUUUCCAUGGGGGUGGUGGGGAGGCUGCUUCUCUGAAGACUUGCACACACUUGUUCCUCUCUCACCAGGUCACAGCCCCUGGAGACCUGAAUAGCCAUGGACUGCUCCAAGUCAGACAGAGACCCGAAUGAGGGAUUACGACUUGAGCUGCACCGGUUGGUGGACAAUUACUGUGAUCGUCAUCAGAAUGAACCAGAAGGAGAGGACGAGGUG
This 327-nucleotide long non-coding RNA is filed under the name Neogale vison (American mink). RNAcentral describes it as "Neovison vison (American mink) lncRNA (ENSNVIG00000023330.1)". The record is from RNAcentral. Lineage: Eukaryota; Metazoa; Chordata; Mammalia; Carnivora; Mustelidae.